AAAUAGCCCUGAUGGAAGUGGCAUCCUCUUGUCUCGUCUUUUGGAUGAGACAAGAGAUAGAGCGGACAGCAGGAGGGAAG
RNAcentral lists this small RNA (80 nucleotides) under Flavobacterium glycines. RNAcentral describes it as "Flavo-1 RNA". It matches the Rfam family "Flavo-1 RNA". The record is from RNAcentral. Lineage: Bacteria; Pseudomonadati; Bacteroidota; Flavobacteriia; Flavobacteriales; Flavobacteriaceae.